Molecule: ribosomal RNA, 1026 nt
Filed under: Erioscyphella brasiliensis
Lineage: Eukaryota; Fungi; Ascomycota; Leotiomycetes; Helotiales; Lachnaceae
Description: SSU rRNA
Rfam family: Eukaryotic small subunit ribosomal RNA
Source: RNAcentral
AAGUAUGGCUUCAAGGUUCAACGGGAACGGGGAUUAGGUUUUUUCCGAGAAGGACCUGAGAACGGCUACUUCAUCCAAGGAGGCAGCAGGCGCGCAAAUUACCCAAUCCCGACACGGGGAGGUAGUGACAAUAAAUACUGAUACAGGGCUCUUUUGGGUCUUGUAAUUGGAAUGAGUACAAUUUAAAUCCCUUAACGAGGAACAAUUGGAGGGCAAGUCUGGUGCCAGCAGCCGCGGUAAUUCCAGCUCCAAUAGCGUAUAUUAAAGUUGUUGCAGUUAAAAAGCUCGUAGUUGAACCUUGGGCCUGGCUGGCCGGUCCGCCUCACCGCGUGCACUGGUCCGGCCGGGUCUUUCCUUCUGGGGAGCCGCAUGCCCUUCACUGGGUGUGUCGGGGAACCAGGACUUUUACUUUGAAAAAAUUAGAGUGUUCAAAGCAGGCCUAUGCUCGAAUACAUUAGCAUGGAAUAAUAGAAUAGGACGUGUGGUUCUAUUUUGUUGGUUUCUAGGACCGCCGUAAUGAUUAAUAGGGAUAGUCGGGGGCGUCAGUAUUCAAUUGUCAGAGGUGAAAUUCUUGGAUUUAUUGAAGACUAACUACUGCGAAAGCAUUCGCCAAGGAUGUUUUCAUUAAUCAGUGAACGAAAGUUAGGGGAUCGAAGACGAUUAAUCUGGUCGUCAAUAGCGUAUAACUAGUCUGCUCAGCAGGCAACACCGCCAAAUUGCGGGGACCUCCUAAAGGCUGCACCACUCCCUACGCCCAGAAAUAGGCGCAGCUUGUUACAGCGUGUAGUAUGAUCAGGGCAGCCUGAGAAAUGGACAAUCCGCAGCCAAGCCCUACCGCUGCUCGCAGCCACGGGUGCAGUUCACAGACUAGACGUCGGUGGGUUCGCAGAACUUAAGAUAUAGUCGGUCAGCCCCUGAAAGGAGGCCUGAAGCAUGCAGAUACCGUCGUAGUCUUAACCAUAAACUAUGCCGACUAGGGAUCGGGCGAUGUUAUCUUUUUGACUCGCUCGGCACCUUACGAGAAAU